Molecule: unclassified non-coding RNA, 253 nt
Filed under: uncultured Desulfarculaceae bacterium
Lineage: Bacteria; Pseudomonadati; Thermodesulfobacteriota; Desulfarculia; Desulfarculales; Desulfarculaceae
Description: contains 16S-23S intergenic spacer region
Rfam family: Bacterial small subunit ribosomal RNA
Source: RNAcentral
UACGGAGGGUGCAAGCGUUGUUCGGAAUUACUGGGCGUAAAGCGCGUGCAGGCGGCCGACUAAGUCCGGUGUGAAAGCCCGGGGCUCACCCCCGGAAGUGCGCUGGAAACUGGUCGGCUAGAGUACGGGAGAGGGAAGCGGAAUUCCUGGUGUAGCGGUGAAAUGCGUAGAUAUCAGGAGGAACACCGGCGGCGAAGGCGGCUUCCUGGACCGAUACUGACGCUGAGACGCGAAAGCGUGGGGAGCAAACAGG